UACAGAGGUCUCAAGCGUUGUUCGGAUUCAUUGGGCGUAAAGGGUGCGUAGGUGGCGCUGUAAGUCAGGUGUGAAAUUUCGGAGCUUAACUCCGAAACUGCAUUUGAUACUGCGGUGCUCGAGGACUGGAGAGGAGACUGGAAUUUACGGUGUAGCAGUGGAAUGCGUAGAGAUCGUAUGGAAGACCAGUGGCGAAGGCGGGUCUCUGGACAGUUCCUGACACUGAGGCACGAAGGCCAGGGGAGCAAACGGG
This 253-nucleotide ribosomal RNA is filed under the name uncultured bacterium. Its description in RNAcentral is "partial 16S ribosomal RNA". It matches the Rfam family "Bacterial small subunit ribosomal RNA", at positions 524 to 776 of the family's 1533-position model. The record is from RNAcentral.